GAGCAUAGAGCUCAGUGGUAGAGUGCGUGCUUAGCAUGCACGAGGCUCUGGGUUCAGUCCCUGGUACCUCCA
Molecule: transfer RNA, 72 nt
Filed under: Camelus bactrianus (Bactrian camel)
Lineage: Eukaryota; Metazoa; Chordata; Mammalia; Artiodactyla; Camelidae
Also listed under: 3 other names
Rfam family: tRNA
About the family: Transfer RNA (tRNA) molecules are approximately 80 nucleotides in length. Their secondary structure includes four short double-helical elements and three loops (D, anti-codon, and T loops). Further hydrogen bonds mediate the characteristic L-shaped molecular structure. tRNAs have two regions of fundamental functional importance: the anti-codon, which is responsible for specific mRNA codon recognition, and the 3' end, to which the tRNAs corresponding amino acid is attached (by aminoacyl-tRNA synthetases). tRNAs cope with the degeneracy of the genetic code in two manners: having more than one tRNA (with a specific anti-codon) for a particular amino acid; and 'wobble' base-pairing, i.e. permitting non-standard base-pairing at the 3rd anti-codon position.
Source: Rfam by way of RNAcentral